Molecule: ribosomal RNA, 337 nt
Filed under: uncultured Dehalobacter sp.
Lineage: Bacteria; Bacillati; Bacillota; Clostridia; Eubacteriales; Desulfitobacteriaceae
Description: bacterial SSU rRNA
Rfam family: Bacterial small subunit ribosomal RNA
Source: RNAcentral
AUGGCUGUCGUCAGCUCGUGUCGUGAGAUGUUGGGUUAAGUCCCGCAACGAGCGCCAACCCUAUAUUCAGUUGCCAGCAUGUAAAGAUGGGAACUCUGGAUAGACUGCCGGUGAUAAACGGAGGAAGGUGGGGAUGACGUCAAAUCAUCAUGCCCCUUAUGUCUUGGGCUACACACGUGCUACAAUGGGCAGUACAGACGGAAGCGAAGCUGUGAAGUGGAGCAAAUCCGAGAAAGCUGUUCGUAGUUCGGAUUGUAGGCUGCAACUCGCCUACAUGAAGUCGGAAUCGCUAGUAAUCGCAGGUCAGCACACUGCGGUGAAUACGUUCCCGGGCCUU